Molecule: ribosomal RNA, 366 nt
Filed under: uncultured bacterium
Lineage: Bacteria
Description: partial 16S ribosomal RNA
Rfam family: Bacterial small subunit ribosomal RNA
Source: RNAcentral
CCUACGAGCGGCAGCAGAGAGGAAUAUGGGUCAAUGGGCGAGAGCCUGAACCAGCCAAGUCGCGUGAGGGAGUACUGCCCUAUGGGUUGUAAACCUCUUUUGUCGGGGAGCAAAAGCCGGACGUGUCCGGCUGUGAGAGUACCCGAAGAAAAAGCAUCGGCUAACACCGUGCCAGCAGCCGCGGUAAUACGGAGGAUGCGAGCGUUAUCAGGAUUUAUUGGGUUUAAAGGGUGCGCAGGCGGAUUUUUAAGUCAGCGGUUAAUACGUGGGGCUCAACCCCAUCCCGCCGUUGAAACUGGGGAUCGAGAGUGUGCGAGAGGUAUGCGGAAUGCGUGGUGUAGCGGUGAAAUGCAUAGAGAUCACGCA